This 380-nucleotide unclassified non-coding RNA is filed under the name Hevea brasiliensis (rubber tree). The record is from RNAcentral. Lineage: Eukaryota; Viridiplantae; Streptophyta; Magnoliopsida; Malpighiales; Euphorbiaceae.
AAAGCAUCCCAGAAACAGAGGAAAACAACUAUUCUAAAGAGCAAGUAAAAGAUUCCAAGGAUAAUGCAGAUGAGGAGUUGAGGAAAACUAUGCAUUUAGCCUCUCAAACUGAAAAUGAUUUCAUGGUUUCUGAAGAUGAGAGAAAUGCAAAAAAUCAACAGGAAUAUUUUGUCCCUUGGCAUUUACCAUAUCAUCGUGCUGAAGUCGGCGGCUCAUCUGCUUGUGCUCUUGCAAGUGGCUUGGCCAAAAAAGAUGAUAAAAAGGGUGCUGUAGUGUAUAACAGAUACUACCAUGUCUUCAGUGAAGGUGAACUUGAAAGGUUGGUAACUGGCAUAAACAACGCAGUAAUAGUUGAUCGAUUUUUUGAUAAAUCGAACUGG